Long non-coding RNA from Entelurus aequoreus (snake pipefish), 997 nucleotides. RefSeq lists it as uncharacterized. The transcript has 3 exons. The record is from RefSeq and is a predicted model, not a curated record. Lineage: Eukaryota; Metazoa; Chordata; Actinopteri; Syngnathiformes; Syngnathidae.
GGAAACGUAACAUUGAAACCAAAUCAGCUUGAACUCAAGUGUGUGAUUUUUGUCUUCACCUGUUCACUCUGACCCGCAUUGUUGCAGGAAGGGAGGAGCUUCUCGAUCAUCUCACCAAUCAUUUUGAAGGUCGGUCUGUCUGUCGGCUCCAGAUUCCAACACAGAGUCAUCAGCUGGUACCUGAAGCGGAGCCACCGGAGAUGAUUGACAGCAGGAGAAAACAGAACGUCUUCAUCGCCAUCUUCUUCAAACUGACUGACACUCAAGCGGCUCAACUUCCUGCCAGAUGUUGGCUCCGCCCCCUGCUUACAGCCUCAGACCUCCAACAGCAGUCCUGACAACCAGUUGAGGCCACGGAGGGAUUCUCAUAGGCAGCUUUCCCCCUGCUCCUCGCCGCCGCCUGAUGCCGUCACUUCAUCAGCUCUGAACACAACACAGACAGCCACCUCUUCAAAAUCAUCCUCAUCGUCACCACCAUUAUCAUCAUACCUGUCUGCGUCCUGCGCAGCGCCGCCGUGAAGCUCCACGCUGACCGGCGUGAUAUAGGCGCCAUUAGAGGGACCCGCCUCCUCCAGGUGAACUGUCACUUUGGGGUCUUGGCUUCCUGUUUGCGCCGGGAGGCGAGCAUUGACUUGACAAACGUCCUUGUUGGAGGUCAAAAUCAUGUCUCACCGCUCGCGCCGGUCGGCCCGUCGGCGGGUGCGGGCGUCAACCCGGGUGGCGCGACAGCCGGAUGGUUGCGUGUCAGGAAGUCAUCCGUCAGCCCGGCGUAUAUCUGGGGGAGGGCAGGAGGAGGCGCUUGAAGUGAGACGCAACUUUUAAGGAAGCGGUCCUAACGAGGUCACCACCUUUCUGUAGUCAUCAGUCAACAUGAGGUCGAGAGAGGCCACUAACGAUGAGAACGGCGGUCUGGACCCGGACCGCACGCACCAACACGUCUUCAUCAAGUCGUAACUGAACACACCACAUUUCACGUGUCAUACAAUGUUGUUGUCAU